UAACCCAUGUAGCAAUCGGCCGCAAACUGUUGUGACAUCUUCAAAUUAACUUUAACUUGAAUAAUAUAACUCAAAAAACCUAACACAAAUGCUUCUGAAGAAAGCUGAAAGAUACAACUCAAAAGCUCUAGUACAAUUGGACUAAAUAAAAGGCAGACACAUGAAACUGGUUAUUCUAUUUGGUUCAUGUAGCUCCAGAUUUGUACACUUGAAACACACAGGAAUGCUUGCAAAAAAAAAUUACUAUUUUU
RNAcentral lists this long non-coding RNA (251 nucleotides) under Nicotiana benthamiana. Its description in RNAcentral is "long non-coding RNA (NBEN_LNC038734)". The record is from RNAcentral. Lineage: Eukaryota; Viridiplantae; Streptophyta; Magnoliopsida; Solanales; Solanaceae.